RNAcentral lists this ribosomal RNA (274 nucleotides) under uncultured bacterium. RNAcentral describes it as "partial 16S ribosomal RNA". It matches the Rfam family "Bacterial small subunit ribosomal RNA", at positions 355 to 622 of the family's 1533-position model. The record is from RNAcentral.
UGGGGAAUAUUGCACAAUGGGCGCAAGCCUGAUGCAGCCAUGCCGCGUGUGUGAAGAAGGCCUUCGGGUUGUAAAGCACUUUCAGCGAGGAGGAAGGGUUCAGUGUUAAUAGCACUGUUCAUUGACGUUACUCGCAGAAGAAGCACCGGCUAACUCCGUGCCAGCAGCCGCGGUAAUACGGAGGGUGCAAGCGUUAAUCGGAAUUACUGGGCGUAAAGCGCACGCAGGCGGUUUGUUAAGUCAGAUGUGAAAUCCCGCGCUUAACGUGGGAACU